RNAcentral lists this ribosomal RNA (396 nucleotides) under uncultured bacterium. Its description in RNAcentral is "bacterial SSU rRNA". It matches the Rfam family "Bacterial small subunit ribosomal RNA", at positions 358 to 771 of the family's 1533-position model. The record is from RNAcentral.
GGAAUAUUGGACAAUGGGCGCAAGCCUGAUCCAGCCAUGCCGCGUGAGUGAUGAAGGCCUUAGGGUUGUAAAGCUCUUUCGCUAGGGAAGAUAAUGACGGUACCUAGAUAAGAAGCCCCGGCUAACUUCGUGCCAGCAGCCGCGGUAAUACGAAGGGGGCUAGCGUUGUUCGGAAUUACUGGGUGUAAAGCGCACGUAGGCGGACUUGUCAGUCAGGGGUGAAAUCCCGAGGCUUAACCUCGGAACUGCCUUUGAUACUGCAAGUCUUGAGGAUGAGAGAGGUGAGUGGAACUGCGAGUGUAGAGGUGAAAUUCGUAGAUAUUCGCAAGAACACCAGUGGCGAAGGCGGCUCACUGGCUCAUUUCUGACGCUGAGGUGCGAAAGCGUGGGGAGCAA